GAGGGUAUAGCUCAGUGGUAGAGUGCGUGCUAGGCAUGUAUGAGGUCCUGGGUUCAAUCCCCAGUACAUCCA
Molecule: transfer RNA, 72 nt
Filed under: Camelus bactrianus (Bactrian camel)
Lineage: Eukaryota; Metazoa; Chordata; Mammalia; Artiodactyla; Camelidae
Also listed under: 3 other names
Rfam family: tRNA
About the family: Transfer RNA (tRNA) molecules are approximately 80 nucleotides in length. Their secondary structure includes four short double-helical elements and three loops (D, anti-codon, and T loops).
Source: Rfam by way of RNAcentral